CGGUAACAGCCCGGUAGUUGAAAUGGCUUUCCCUCCAGAGUGGAUCCUGAGUACGGCGGAACACGUGAAAUUCCGUCGGAAUCCGGGAGGACCAUCUCCCAAGGCUAAAUACUCCCUAGUGACCGAUAGUGAACCAGUACCGUGAGGGAAAGGUGAAAAGCACCCCGGAAGGGGAGUGAAACAGUUCCUGAAACCGUGUGCCUACAAGUAGUUAGAGCCCGUUAAUGGGUGAUAGCGUGCCUUUUGUAGAAUGAACCGGCGAGUUACGAUUUGUUGCAAGGUUAAGCGGAAAAAGCGGAGCCGUAGCGAAAGCGAGUCUGAAUAGGGCGCAUAAGUAACAGGUCGUAGACCCGAAACCAGGUGAUCUACCCAUGUCCAGGAUGAAGGUAAGGUAAUACUUACUGGAGGUCCGAACCCACGCACGUUGAAAAGUGCGGGGAUGAGGUGUGGGUAGCGGAGAAAUUCCAAUCGAACUUGGAGAUAGCUGGUUCUCUCCGAAAUAGCUUUAGGGCUAGCCUCGAGGUAAAGAGUCAUGGAGGUAGAGCACUGUUUGGACUAGGGGCCCUUCUCGGGUUACCGAAUUCAGAUAAACUCCGAAUGCCAUGUACUUAUACUCGGGAGUCAGACUGCGAGUGAUAAGAUCCGUAGUCGAAAGGGAAACAGCCCAGACCACCAGUUAAGGUCCCCAAAUAUAUGUUAAGUGGAAAAGGAUGUGGGGUUGCUUAGACAACCAGGAUGUUGGCUUAGAAGCAGCCACCAUUGAAAGAGUGCGUAAUAGCUCACUGGUCGAGUGACCCCGCGCCGAAAAUGUACCGGGGCUAAACAUAUUACCGAAACUGUGGAUGAACCUCUUUAGAGGUUCGUGGUAGGAGAGCGUUCUAAGGGCGGUGAAGUCAGACCGGAAGGACUGGUGGAGCGCUUAGAAGUGAGAAUGCCGGUAUGAGUAGCGAAAGAAGGGUGAGAAUCCCUUCCACCGAAUAUCUAAGGUUUCCUGAGGAAGGCUCGUCCGCUCAGGGUUAGUCGGGACCUAAGCCGAGGCCGAUAGGCGUAGGCGAUGGACAACAGGUAGAGAUUCCUGUACCAGUGCUAAUUGUUUAACCGAUGGGGUGACACAGAAGGAUAGGGAAUCGCACGAAUGGAAAUGUGCGUCCAAGCAGUGAGUGUGAGAAGUAGGCAAAUCCGCUUCUCGCGAAGCAUGAGCUGUGAUGGGGAAGGAAAUUAAGUACGGAAGUUCCUGAUUUCACGCUGUCAAGAAAAGCCUCUAGGAAGAGUAGUACUGCCCGUACCGCAAACCGACACAGGUAGAUGAGGAGAGAAUCCUAAGGUGAGCGAGAGAACUCUCGUUAAGGAACUCGGCAAAAUGACCCCGUAACUUCGGGAGAAGGGGUGCUCUAUUAGGGUGCAAGCCCGAGAGAGCCGCAGUGAAUAGGCCCAGGCGACUGUUUAGCAAAAACACAGGUCUCUGCAAAACCGUAAGGUGACGUAUAGGGGCUGACGCCUGCCCGGUGCUGGAAGGUUAAGAGGAGUGCUUAGCUUCGGCGAAGGUACGAAUUGAAGCCCCAGUAAACGGCGGCCGUAACUAUAACGGUCCUAAGGUAGCGAAAUUCCUUGUCGGGUAAGUUCCGACCCGCACGAAAGGCGCAACGAUCUGGGCACUGUCUCAACGAGAGACUCGGUGAAAUUAUAGUACCUGUGAAGAUGCAGGUUACCCGCGACAGGACGGAAAGACCCCGUGGAGCUUUACUGCAACCUGAUAUGGAAUGUUUGUACCGCUUGUACAGGAUAGGUAGGAGCCGAAGAGACGUGUGCGCUAGCAUACGAGGAGGCAAUGGUGGGAUACUACCCUGGCUGUAUGACCAUUCUAACCCGCCACGCUUAGCGCGUGGGGAGACAGUGUCAGGUGGGCAGUUUGACUGGGGCGGUCGCCUCCUAAAGAGUAACGGAGGCGCCCAAAGGUUCCCUCAGAAUGGAUGGAAAUCAUUCGCAGAGUGUAAAGGCACAAGGGAGCUUGACUGCGAGACUGACAAGUCGAGCAGGGACGAAAGUCGGGCUUAGUGAUCCGGUGGUUCCGCAUGGAAGGGCCAUCGCUCAACGGAUAAAAGCUACCCCGGGGAUAACAGGCUUAUCUCCCCCAAGAGUCCACAUCGACGGGGAGGUUUGGCACCUCGAUGUCGGCUCGUCGCAUCCUGGGGCUGUAGUCGGUCCCAAGGGUUGGGCUGUUCGCCCAUUAAAGCGGCACGCGAGCUGGGUUCAGAACGUCGUGAGACAGUUCGGUCCCUAUCCGUCGCGGGCGCAGGAAAUUUGAGAGGAGCUGUCCUUAGUACGAGAGGACCGGGAUGGACACACCGCUGGUGUACCAGUUGUUCCGCCAGGAGCAUCGCUGGGUAGCUAUGUGUGGCAGGGAUAAACGCUGAAAGCAUCUAAGCGUGAAGCCCCCCUCAAGAUGAGAUUUCCCAUUUCUUCGGAAAGUAAGAUCCCUGAAAGAUGAUCAGGUAGAUAGGUUUGGAGUGGAAGUGUAGCGAUACAUGGAGCGGACAAAUACUAAUCGAUCGAGGACUUAACCAA
RNAcentral lists this ribosomal RNA (2565 nucleotides) under Listeria monocytogenes. RNAcentral's name for it is "partial 23S ribosomal RNA". It matches the Rfam family "Bacterial large subunit ribosomal RNA", at positions 361 to 2925 of the family's 2925-position model. The record is from RNAcentral. Lineage: Bacteria; Bacillati; Bacillota; Bacilli; Caryophanales; Listeriaceae.